This is a small nucleolar RNA of Cebus imitator (Panamanian white-faced capuchin), 128 nucleotides long. Its record names the gene SNORA63. It matches the Rfam family "Small nucleolar RNA SNORA63". From Rfam's summary of the family: E3 belongs to the H/ACA class of snoRNAs and is involved in the processing of eukaryotic pre-rRNA and has regions of complementarity to 18S rRNA. NCBI's taxonomy places the organism in Eukaryota, Metazoa, Chordata, Mammalia, Primates, Cebidae. The record is from Ensembl.
AAGCAGGAAUCAGACUACAAUAUAGCUGUUAGUGCUGUAUUGUCAUUCCCCCUGCUGAAAUUAAAGUUGUUUCUUAACUACACCUGUCUGCUAUUCUGUAGCAGCCAGGGAUGCUUGGUUACAUACAU